CACGAACGCUGGCGGCGUGCUUAACACAUGCAAGUCGAACGGAAAGGCCCUGCUUUUGUGGGGUGCUCGAGUGGCGAACGGGUGAGUAACACGUGAGUAACCUGCCCUUGACUUUGGGAUAACUUCAGGAAACUGGGGCUAAUACCGGAUAGGAGCUCCUGCUGCAUGGUGGGGGUUGGAAAGUUUCGGCGGUUGGGGAUGGACUCGCGGCUUAUCAGCUUGUUGGUGGGGUAGUGGCUUACCAAGGCUUUGACGGGUAGCCGGCCUGAGAGGGUGACCGGCCACAUUGGGACUGAGAUACGGCCCAGACUCCUACGGGAGGCAGCAGUGGGGAAUAUUGCACAAUGGGCGGAAGCCUGAUGCAGCAACGCCGCGUGCGGGAUGACGGCCUUCGGGUUGUAAACCGCUUUCGCCUGUGACGAAGCGUGAGUGACGGUAAUGGGUAAAGAAGCACCGGCUAACUACGU
RNAcentral lists this ribosomal RNA (467 nucleotides) under uncultured bacterium. RNAcentral describes it as "partial 16S ribosomal RNA". It matches the Rfam family "Bacterial small subunit ribosomal RNA", at positions 29 to 506 of the family's 1533-position model. The record is from RNAcentral.